GCACUACUGAGGAGUUCCAUAAUAGGACGAAACGGCCUUUGUCCAGUGC
Molecule: non-coding RNA, 49 nt
Organism: Schistosoma mansoni
Lineage: Eukaryota; Metazoa; Platyhelminthes; Trematoda; Strigeidida; Schistosomatidae
Source: Rfam